GACGAACGCUGGCGGCGUGCUUAACACAUGCAAGUCGAACGGUGAACCAGAGCUUGCUCUGGGGAUCAGUGGCGAACGGGUGAGUAACACGUGGGCAACCUGCCCAGACUCUGGGAUAACCUCGGGAAACCGAUGCUAAUACCGGAUACGACCACUUCGGACAUCCGACGGUGGUGGAAAGUUUUUCGGUCUGGGAUGGGCCCGCGGCCUAUCAGCUAGUUGGUGGGGUAAUGGCCUACCAAGGCGACGACGGGUAGCCGGCCUGAGAGGGCGACCGGCCACACUGGAACUGAGACACGGUCCAGACUCCUACGGGAGGCAGCAGUGGGGAAUAUUGCACAAUGGGCGAAAGCCUGAUGCAGCGACGCCGCGUGAGGGACGACGGCCUUCGGGUUGUAAACCGUCUUUCAGCAGGACGAAGCGAAAGUGACUGUACCUGCAGAAGAAGCACCGGCUAACUACGUGCCAGCAGCCGCGGUAAGU
Molecule: ribosomal RNA, 483 nt
Filed under: uncultured bacterium
Lineage: Bacteria
Description: bacterial SSU rRNA
Rfam family: Bacterial small subunit ribosomal RNA
Source: RNAcentral